UCUCCGUUGGUGAACCAGCGGAGGGAUCAUUACCGGGUUAUACCAACUCCCAAACCUCUGUGAACAUACCACACGUUGCUUCGGCGGACCGCCCCGGCGCCCGAAUCCCCCCGGGGAGGAGGCCCGGAGCCAGGCGCCCGCCGGGGGACCCAAACUCUUGCCUUCGCCCUCAGCGGAAUCUCCUUCUGAGUAAAGAAAACAGAUGAAUCAAAACUUUCAACAACGGAUCUCUUGGUUCUG
Molecule: unclassified non-coding RNA, 240 nt
Filed under: plant metagenome
Description: partial contains small subunit ribosomal RNA, internal transcribed spacer 1, and 5.8S ribosomal RNA
Source: RNAcentral